Molecule: non-coding RNA, 273 nt
Organism: Arachis ipaensis
Lineage: Eukaryota; Viridiplantae; Streptophyta; Magnoliopsida; Fabales; Fabaceae
Source: RefSeq, a predicted model, not a curated record
CCCCAGUGUAAGUUUCCGUUCCUAUUUGGUAACUUAUAACUAACUUUGAAUCAGUAAUUUCAUAUCUCACAUUGUGCUUGGUAUAGAUAUACAGCAUUGCAUCCAAACAAGUUGGUCCUAAUGAACAGGGAAUGGUUCAAGGAUGUCUCUCUGGAGUUAGCUCCAUGGCGCAAAUUGUUUCUCCCUUAAUAUUCAGUCCGCUCACAGCAUUAUUCUUGUCUGAAGAAGCACCCUUCUAUUUUCUUGGGUUUAGUAUAAUGUUCCUUGGCCUUG